UGGAUAAUAGUUUAUAAAAACAUUUAACUUGCAUUUAAAAAAUAUUUUUUUUAUCUAA
Molecule: transfer RNA, 58 nt
Filed under: Pristaulacus sp. ZJUH_2016030
Lineage: Eukaryota; Metazoa; Arthropoda; Insecta; Hymenoptera; Aulacidae
Description: tRNA-Ala
Source: RNAcentral